AUCACUGAGCGUAAAGCGUGGCGUAGGCGGCGCAGUAAGUCAGAUGUGAAAGCCCUCGGCUCAACCGAGGAACUGCGUUUGAAACUGCUGUGCUAGAGUCUCGGAGAGGUUGGCGGAAUUCCUGGUGUAGGAGUGAAAUCCGUAGAUAUCUGGAGGAACACCGGUGGCGAAGGCGGCCCACUGGACGAGUACUGACGCUGAGGUACGAAAGCGUGGGGAGCAAACAGGAUUAGAUACCCUGGUAGUCCACGCCGUAAACGAUGGAUAUUAGGUGUCGGGGGUUUUGCUUCGGUGCCGGAGUGAAAUCCUUAAAUUACCCGCCCGGGGGAGACGGUCGCGACGCUGAAACUCAAAGGAAUUGACGG
This 365-nucleotide ribosomal RNA is filed under the name uncultured bacterium. RNAcentral's name for it is "bacterial SSU rRNA". It matches the Rfam family "Bacterial small subunit ribosomal RNA", at positions 550 to 916 of the family's 1533-position model. The record is from RNAcentral.